CAGCGAUAAUUCUUUGAACGUGGAAGUAAUUAAAAAUGUACUGACAAUAAUUGGGCAAUAUUCUCCGCCAGGAUUCAGCAAAAGUCGUUUUGAAGCGGUAUUUAACGCAAUAGGAAGUUGUAGUUCGACAGCAAGUAACACUGUAGAGGAAAGUGUGAAGACAUACUUUCAAUGUGUAAAAAAGCUUACAUGAAUAUUCAGAUAUAUCCUUAAAAACUUGACGAUGAAGUUAUGUUCUUCAAUGUUGAAACAUGUCGAUGUAAAACUUUAAAGUAAUAAAGAGAUUUCACUUAUAAACAAUUUCGACUAUUUUAAAAAAAAAAUUUUUGGUUGGGGCAACAUGAGACACGUUGAGGCAACAAAUCGCUAUGUUGGCUCUGGG
RNAcentral lists this long non-coding RNA (382 nucleotides) under Cotesia glomerata. RNAcentral's name for it is "uncharacterized LOC123274089". The record is from RNAcentral. Lineage: Eukaryota; Metazoa; Arthropoda; Insecta; Hymenoptera; Braconidae.